UAGGAGAGGCUUUAUGGACAGCACUGAAGGGUGCAGGACCUAGCUCCUGGGGAGGAAAGGACGCUUGCUGAGCCUGCCGUGGGUAGCAGAGCUGGGAGGAGAUGGCACUGAAAGAGCAGCCUCUGGAAUAACCAUGAGGGCCACAUGCUUCAUAUCGAGCCUGCUUUCCAUCCACAGCUACCUUGCAUUCAGGAGUUGAUGCUUCAUGAAAAGCAAACCAUUGCUGAGAAACUCAUGACAACAUUUUGAGACUGCAACCCAACU
Molecule: long non-coding RNA, 264 nt
Organism: Tyto alba (common barn owl)
Lineage: Eukaryota; Metazoa; Chordata; Aves; Strigiformes; Tytonidae
Exons: 3
Source: RefSeq, a predicted model, not a curated record